AGUCCGCACGCCGGCCGGCAGCUCGGCGAGGGCUGGGAGGGGCCUGACGCGCCCACAACUUGGGCGGGGCCAGGGUCGGAGCAUGGACUCAGCUUCCUAGAGAAGAUUCCAGCCUGGGAAGUCAAGGGAAGACCUGGUGAGGGAAGAUAGGUCAUCGUGGUGGAAAUUUCCAGAUCAUUUGCCCACCUGCCUCUGGGAGGACGUCUUGAAGGCCGCCAGGCUGUGCUUGUCAGAUGCUGAGGAAGCACUGUUGGGGGCCCCUGGUCUCAGAAGUUUUGUCAGCCUGACUUCUCGAGAGAUACCACCAGAAGAACUAUGUCUACCUCGGUGUUUCUCCCAGAAUGAAUGCUGUGUCCCCCAGUUCCAGGCCGUGCACUUUCCUUUGAACAUCCGUCUGCAUCCUACAUCCCUGCCCCUCUGCCCACAUGCCGCUCCUUCCUGUUUAGCUUGGAUAGCAGGCUGGCUCUGGCCAUCAGAACCAUUGCUGACCUUGGCUGUCUUCACCUGCUGGGCAGACACAAAGUGAGGCCAACAUCUGGACCCAGAGGAGAAAUUAGAGGCCAUUUGUGGAAGCACUCAGGAGGCCGGAAGGCCUCUGUCCAAGGCCAAAACACCACACCAUUGUUUUCCAGUUCCAAACAGGAAGGGAACCUGGGUGUGCUUGGGCAAAGGAAAGGGAACCUGAGGUGGAUGUAAGUGUGGCAAGUGAUCUCGAGUUAAAAAGGGGCCACAGUUUCUUCUAAUAAACAGCGUAUACUGUUCUGUAUCCU
Mus musculus (house mouse) is the source of this 770-nucleotide long non-coding RNA. RefSeq annotates it as diacylglycerol kinase, epsilon, opposite strand. The record is from RefSeq and is marked validated. The transcript is spliced from 4 exons. Lineage: Eukaryota; Metazoa; Chordata; Mammalia; Rodentia; Muridae.